Molecule: ribosomal RNA, 449 nt
Filed under: uncultured bacterium
Lineage: Bacteria
Description: partial 16S ribosomal RNA
Rfam family: Bacterial small subunit ribosomal RNA
Source: RNAcentral
AGCGAACGCUGGCGGCAGGCCUAACACAUGCAAGUCGAACGAACUCUUCGGAGUUAGUGGCGGACGGGUGAGUAACACGUGGGAACGUGCCUUUAGGUUCGGAAUAACUCAGGGAAACUUGUGCUAAUACCGAAUGUGCCCUUCGGGGGAAUGAUUUAUCGCCUUUAGAGCGGCCCGCGUCUGAUUAGCUAGUUGGUGAGGUAAAGGCUCACCAAGGCGACGAUCAGUAGCUGGUCUGAGAGGAUGAUCAGCCACAUUGGGACUGGGACACGGCCCAACCGCCUACGGGAGGCAGCAGUGGGGAAUUUUGCGCAAUGGGCGAAAGCCUGACGCAGCCAUGCCGCGUGAAUGAUGAAGGUCUUAGGAUUGUAAAAUCCUUUCACCGGUGAGGAUAAUGACUGUAGCCGGAGAAGAAGCCCCGGCUAACCUCGUGCCAGCCGCCGCCGUAA